UAGGGAAUUUUCGUCAAUGGGCGCAAGCCUGAACGAGCAAUGCCGUGUGAACGAGGAAGGUCUUCGGAUCGUAAAGUUCUGUUGAAGGGGAAAAAGAGCGGAGAGAGGAAAUGGUCUCCGAUUGAUAUUACCCUUCGAGGAAGUCACGGCUAACUACGUGCC
Molecule: ribosomal RNA, 162 nt
Filed under: uncultured bacterium
Lineage: Bacteria
Description: partial 16S ribosomal RNA
Rfam family: Bacterial small subunit ribosomal RNA
Source: RNAcentral